Molecule: ribosomal RNA, 1459 nt
Filed under: uncultured organism
Description: SSU rRNA
Rfam family: Bacterial small subunit ribosomal RNA
Source: RNAcentral
GGCAGGCCUAACACAUGCAAGUCGAACGGUAACAGGAAUCAGCUUGCUGAUUCGCUGACGAGUGGCGGACGGGUGAGUAAUGUCUGGGAAACUGCCUGAUGGAGGGGGAUAACUACUGGAAACGGUAGCUAAUACCGCAUAACGUCGCAAGACCAAAGAGGGGGACCUUCGGGCCUCUUGCCAUCGGAUGUGCCCAGAUGGGAUUAGCUAGUAGGUGGGGUAAAGGCUCACCUAGGCGACGAUCCCUAGCUGGUCUGAGAGGAUGACCAGCCACACUGGAACUGAGACACGGUCCAGACUCCUACGGGAGGCAGCAGUGGGGAAUAUUGCACAAUGGGCGCAAGCCUGAUGCAGCCAUGCCGCGUGUAUGAAGAAGGCCUUCGGGUUGUAAAGUACUUUCAGCGGGGAGGAAGGGAGUAAAGUUAAUACCUUUGCUCAUUGACGUUACCCGCAGAAGAAGCACCGGCUAACUCCGUGCCAGCAGCCGCGGUAAUACGGAGGGUGCAAGUGUUAAUCGGAAUUACUGGGCGUAAAGCGCACGCAGGCGGUUUGUUAAGUCAGAUGUGAAAUCCCCGGGCUCAACCUGGGAACUGCAUCUGAUACUGGCAAGCUUGGGUCUCGUAGAGGGGGGUAGAAUUCCAGGUGUAGCGGUGAAAUGCGUAGAGAUCUGGAGGAAUACCGGUGGCGAAGGCGGCCCCCUGGACGAAGACUGACGCUCAGGUGCGAAAGCGUGGGGAGCAAACAGGAUUAGAUACCCUGGUAGUCCACGCCGUAAACGAUGUCGACUUGGAGGUUGUGCCCUUGAGGCGUGGCUUCCGGAGCUAACGCGUUAAGUCGACCGCCUGGGGAGUACGGCCGCAAGGUUAAAACUCAAAUGAAUUGACGGGGGCCCGCACAAGCGGUGGAGCAUGUGGUUUAAUUCGAUGCAACGCGAAGAACCUUACCUGGUCUUGACAUCCACGGAAGUUUUCAGAGAUGAGAAUGUGCCUUCGGGAACCGUGAGACAGGUGCUGCAUGGCUGUCGUCAGCUCGUGUUGUGAAAUGUUGGGUUAAGUCCCGCAACGAGCGCAACCCUUAUCCUUUGUUGCCAGCGGUCCGGCCGGGAACUCAAAGGAGACUGCCAGUGAUAAACUGGAGGAAGGUGGGGAUGACGUCAAGUCAUCAUGGCCCUUACGACCAGGGCUACACACGUGCUACAAUGGCGCAUACAAAGAGAAGCGACCUCGCGAGAGCAAGCGGACCUCAUAAAGUGCGUCGUAGUCCGGAUUGGAGUCUGCAACUCGACUCCAUGAAGUCGGAAUCGCUAGUAAUCGUGGAUCAGAAUGCCACGGUGAAUACGUUCCCGGGCCUUGUACACACCGCCCGUCACACCAUGGGAGUGGGUUGCAAAAGAAGUAGGUAGCUUAACCUUCGGGAGGGCGCUUACCACUUUGUGAUUCAUGACUGGGGUGAAGUCGUA